Molecule: ribosomal RNA, 237 nt
Filed under: Desulfobulbus sp.
Lineage: Bacteria; Pseudomonadati; Thermodesulfobacteriota; Desulfobulbia; Desulfobulbales; Desulfobulbaceae
Description: partial 23S ribosomal RNA
Rfam family: Bacterial large subunit ribosomal RNA
Source: RNAcentral
GGAUGGACGAACCAAUGGUGUAUCAGUUGUUCCGCCAGGGGCAUUGCUGAGUAGCUAAGUUCGGCAGGGAUAACCGCUGAAAGCAUCUAAGCGGGAAGCCCACUCCAAGAUAAGAUAUCCCGUGACGUAAAGUCACCUCAAGGCUCGUUGUAGACUACAACGUUGAUAGGUCGGGUGUGGAAGCGUGGCAACACGUGGAGCUAACCGAUACUAAUAAGCCGUGCGGCUUAACCAUAU